GAUGAACGCUGGCGGCGUGCCUAAUACAUGCAAGUCGAGCGAACGGACGAGAAUCUUUCUUUGCUGAUGUUAGCGGCGGACGGGGGAGUAACACGUAGAUAACCUACCUAUAAGACUCGGAUAACUUCUGGAAACCGGAGCUAAUACCGAAUAAUAUUUUGAACCGCAUGGUUCAAACGUGAAAGACAGUCUUGCUGUCACUUCUAGAUGGAUCCGCGCUGCAUUAGCUAGUUGGUAAGGUAACGGCAUACCAAGGCAACGAGGCAUAGCCGACCUGAGAGGGUGAUAGGCCACGCCAGAACUGAGACACGGUCCCGACUCCUACGGGAGGCAGCAGUAGGGAAUCUUCCGCAAGGGGCGAAAGCCUGACGUAGCAACGCCGAGUGAGUGAUGAAGGUCUUCGGAUCGUAGUUCUCUGUUACUAGGGAAGAACAUAAGUGUAAGUAACUGUGAACAUCUUGACGGUACCUAAUCAGAAAGCAACGGCUAACUACGUG
This 497-nucleotide ribosomal RNA is filed under the name uncultured bacterium. RNAcentral describes it as "partial 16S ribosomal RNA". It matches the Rfam family "Bacterial small subunit ribosomal RNA", at positions 28 to 507 of the family's 1533-position model. The record is from RNAcentral.